UCUUUUCUUGCUUUGGACGGUUUCCU
Molecule: non-coding RNA, 26 nt
Filed under: Mus musculus (house mouse)
Lineage: Eukaryota; Metazoa; Chordata; Mammalia; Rodentia; Muridae
Also listed under: 1 other name
Source: RNAcentral